AUUUUCUCAACAUUAAACAGCAAAACAGAGUAGAUGCUGAAGAAUGCUGCCCAGAUCCACACUUCAACUCUGAACUGAAUCAGCAUGGUCUGGGCAUGGAGGAUCCACCUGAAGAUUGUUACCAAUAGCCAUAAAAUGAGAACUGGAGGGGAAGAUCUUGGCCUGUUGAUUUUCUAAAAGAAGCUUGCUGAGGAUGGUUUUCCUGAUGCAAACUAGGAUGUUCUGGUCGGAGGAGGAGCUCAAGACCUUGCUGUCACUGAGAAUGGCUGCUGUUUUCAUCAGGGGAGCUCUGAUCUUCACUGUGAGCAUCACUUCCUGGCUCCAAUGUGGAUCCCUCAGCUUAGUGGCACAAAUCCUUCAUCUCACCAAUGUAGAUUUUUUGUCUUCCACCACUGGGGUUUAGGCCUUCCAGGUGCAGAUCCUCAGUAUGGACAAGCAUGAGACACUGCCUUAGACUCAAAGCCUUUAGCUGG
RNAcentral lists this long non-coding RNA (473 nucleotides) under Heterocephalus glaber (naked mole-rat). RNAcentral describes it as "lncRNA (ENSHGLG00100041680.1)". Lineage: Eukaryota; Metazoa; Chordata; Mammalia; Rodentia; Bathyergidae. The record is from RNAcentral.